CCAUGCUCCAUGCUCCAUGCUCCAAUCCUCAAAUCGAUGCACACAAAAUUUAAAUUCAAAUUCGUUAAAACAGAAGAGACACUGACAGAACAGAGCAGAACAGAGAAGGGAAGAGCAUAAUGGAGGAGCUUUAAUGAACACAGGCAAUGCCCAGGCAGUGCCCAGGCACAUGCGAUGGCCGAUGGAAUAAAAUCAUAUAAAAUAUCAAUAAACCACACAAAUUUAUGGCAGAAACAUACACAGAGCGAGAGGGAGAGAGAGAGAGAGAGAGAUACAGAAAGAUGGAGGAGAAGUAGGAGAGACUGUUGCAAGACUCCUCCCUUGCAGAUCCCGAGCCACAGCCACAGCCAGAGCCAGAGCCAGAGCCAGCGGCAAAACGAUGACGAGCUGACGAUGUCAUUGUAAAUACCAUAAAGAAAAUCGUUGCCGACGUGCGGUAUCCCUCGCAUGUCCCUCCCGUGUUGUGCCUUUUGCCUGUGCUUUUCUCUCCUUUCCUCUCCUCUCCUUUCCCUCUAGAAGAAGAAGCCGUUGCCGUUGCCGUUGCUGGCCAAAGGAGCAUCCGCAUCCAGCAUUCAGCAUUCAGGAAGCCCUGCAAAAUGUUAUUUAUUGGAAUUGUGUAAUAAAUGUUACCGAAAGUGCACUCGACAUAAACGAAAUGUUGCAUCCACACGAGUACAUCCAUUGCCAGCAUCGAGGCUCCUGGCAUUAGGAGCCCGUCCGCGCCCGCCAGCCCUCGCCGAGAGAUGCAAAUGAGAAGGAGCAGCAGCAGUAGCCAAGG
Molecule: long non-coding RNA, 778 nt
Organism: Drosophila miranda
Lineage: Eukaryota; Metazoa; Arthropoda; Insecta; Diptera; Drosophilidae
Exons: 3
Source: RefSeq, a predicted model, not a curated record